This 72-nucleotide transfer RNA is filed under the name Marmota monax (woodchuck). Its description in RNAcentral is "tRNA.Ala". The record is from RNAcentral. Lineage: Eukaryota; Metazoa; Chordata; Mammalia; Rodentia; Sciuridae.
GGGGUUGUGGCUCAGCGGUAUGAGCACUCACCUAGCAUGUGCAAGGCACUGGGUUCGAUCCUCAGCACCACA